AGACGGGGGGGGCUAGCGUUGUUCGGAAUUACUGGGCGUAAAGGGUGCGCAGGCGGCCUGGGAAGUCUUGGGUGAAAGCCCCCAGCUCAACUGGGGAAUGGCCUGAGAAACCACUGGGCUGGAGUGCUGGAGAGGGAAGCGGAAUUCCCGGUGGAGCGGUGAAAUGCGUAGAUAUCCGGAGGAACACCAGAGGCGAAGGCGGCUUCCUGGACAGACACUGACGCUCAGGCACGAAAGCUAGGGGAGCAAACGGGAUUAGAAACCCCGGUAGUCC
Molecule: ribosomal RNA, 274 nt
Filed under: uncultured bacterium
Lineage: Bacteria
Description: partial 16S ribosomal RNA
Rfam family: Bacterial small subunit ribosomal RNA
Source: RNAcentral